CUCCACCACAUUUUAAUAUCCGCAAAGGAUCCAGCGGCACUUGCGGGGGAGGUAUGGGGCUUGUUCCUCCCAAUCAACGGGAACCGUAGCCGCAUGUAGAGUUAAAAGAAUAAGGUCAACGCAGAGGAGUGCGCGGAGCUGAACCCACACUAUCCAUUCGUAUCUAGUGUGUCUCGAGUUCAGAAUGAGAUGCUGGAGGCGGGGUGCGACCCACAUGCACGCCCCAUCCCGUUCAGCCCCGGCUUUAGUGCUGUCGUGAUCGUAAUCAACUAAAGCCUCUCUACCCACAAAAGGGAGGAGGAGAGGGAACAAUUGCAUGCUCCUCGAGCUCGCUGCCGAGACUUCUCGAGAUCAAUAUUAGGGCAUGUAUUUACUCCUGGAUUGCACAAGUUUGGUUCUUGUGGGUUCGCUCCAACAAGGGUGGGGGUGGCAUCACUUCGACAGUAGGCGAAGGGGGGCUCUCGGCUCUUUCGGGAAGUAAGUUGGGCUGACCAAUUUCUUUCACUAUUGGUGCGGAUGGGGUGGCAGUGCAUACUGUAUUGUCCCUCCCUUCAUGCGGGGGUAUCUAACUGCUGGGACGGACGUCUUGGUCAACGAAUGGUGGGAACACUGGAGUGAUACGAGUUGCUUUAAUUAUUUCUUGUGGUUGAUUAACAUCUGAGCUAGCUUUUUGUAUGGCCAUUAUUCUGGAGUUUGAGACUGCCAUAUCAGUACCCUGUCCUUUGGUCGGGGGUCAAAUAGGGGAUUGUCUCUGGAGAUGGCAAUUCAUAUCUUGGUGGGGCAUCGAACAGGGGAUUGUCUUUGGAAAAGGCAAUAUACAUCUCGAUCGUGGGUCAUUGUUGGGACCGCUAGCAGAUCUUUUCGAAUCGCUAUGUCGGGCUCUGGUGCCAGUAAGGGCGAUCAUACCAUAUUGACAUCUUCUUCAUUCUGAGUCAGAGAAAGAAUCCGAGCGCUGACUUAUUCGGGGAUCAGUGAACUAUGCAUUUUGCUCGAGGAUGUUGAAUGAGGCGGAACGAAUCUUUGAUGAGUAUUGUCUUCCACAAAGGCGGGUGGACCAUUUGCUCUUGACCCUUCUCACUGCAUUCUGCCGUUUUGCAUCGAUGGAUAGCCAAUGCAUUGCCCAUGUUCUCUGAGGUGGUACUCUGAUCAUAUUUGAAUGCUCCACGUCUUUGGUAUUGUUAGCUCCUAAUUGGAGGGUGUGAUUUUGUGCCGGGGGCAGGACAGCUGGUUGUUCCUGCGUCAGUGCAGUCGCAUCCACUACUCCUCUUUUCGAUGAUUUGAUCCCUUUGCAUUUCUUUAUCAAGUGUUUUGUGCUACGAUAGAAAGGGCACCUAAUUGGAAGAUUACAAUAAUCAACUGAAAUAACAGAGUCCUCACUUGUUCCAUUCGUGAUAGACAUGAGAGUACACCAACGGAUCCCCGCUUCCAAUGCGACACAGAAUCGUUGUUCCGCAUUGGCGGUGUCGUGUGAGUCUCUGCCAAGCACAACAUCCAAACCACCGGCGAUUUGGGAAGCAACUAACAAGAAUUCACUUGCUCUUUUACUAUAGACAGCCACUUCGUUAAAAAAACGGGGGUUUACUUACCUCCCACGAAAUAGGCCACCACUGCAUGCUUCUGGAGGUGCUCAAUUUCUUUCUUCACAACAUGGUCCACAUAAACCUCCAGCACCUCCAUGUGUAGAAGGAACCCCGUGCGGCUCCAUACGUACCCACUCGGAAGUUUUUCACCCUCCGAUGGAAUUGUUGGGUGGAAUUUGGCAUGUUUCUCCAUGUUGGUGACCAUUACAAUAGAAAUUCACCACAUUUCAUGAUAAAUGGCUGCUGUGUAGUGUGAUCACACAUGCAAAUUUCAAGCAUCUUCAGCUCUCUACAGUUUAAAGCUCUUCAUCUUGCUUUGCUUGCCAUGUAUUGCACAGGGAAAAGCUAGAGGUGGAGUACAGCACAGUGAAGAGCUGCCAUGCAUUGCAGACAGUUGCCAAUUUUGUAGGUAGAAACUCAUGCACUUUGACAUUGGUCGAGGGGUUUGUCAGCUCUGGACCUCUCCUGGAAGAAAGCCUUUGUAGUGAUAGCUUGAUGAGCUUGCAAGCUACAAGAUGAAGUGGUUGCACCUUCUUUUAGGCUCACAACUUUGCAGUGACUGCACAGGCAGUUCAUUGGAAGGUGAGUACAACUGCUUUACUAGAGGUACAGUAACAUUAGUACUAUGCAAGAGAAAUAGUAAUCAUGUAACAACCAUUGGUGGCACCUUUCCACUGCCCUGCUGAUAUUUAUUUGCACACUUUUGCACAAAUAAAUAAAUAAAUAAAUAUAUA
Molecule: non-coding RNA, 2314 nt
Organism: Physcomitrium patens
Lineage: Eukaryota; Viridiplantae; Streptophyta; Bryopsida; Funariales; Funariaceae
Source: RefSeq, a predicted model, not a curated record